UGGAAGCGUAGCGAUACGUGGAGCUGACGAAUACUAAUCGAUCGAAGACUUAAUCAA
This 57-nucleotide ribosomal RNA is filed under the name Staphylococcus pseudintermedius. RNAcentral's name for it is "partial 23S ribosomal RNA". The record is from RNAcentral. Lineage: Bacteria; Bacillati; Bacillota; Bacilli; Caryophanales; Staphylococcaceae.